UACGUAGGGGGCAAGCGUUGUCCGGAUUUAUUGGGCGUAAAGAGCGUGUAGGCGGCUUUGCAGGUCCGCUGUGAAAACUCGAGGCUCAACCUCGAGACGCCGGUUGAAACCAUCUGACUAGAGUCCGGAAGAGGAGAGUGGAAUUCCUGGUGUAGCGGUGAAAUGCGUAGAUAUCGGGAGGAACACCAGUGGCGAAGGUGAUCAUCUGGGGUUGUUCUGACACUGAGGAGCGAAAGCUAGGGGAGCAAACGGG
RNAcentral lists this ribosomal RNA (253 nucleotides) under uncultured bacterium. RNAcentral describes it as "partial 16S ribosomal RNA". It matches the Rfam family "Bacterial small subunit ribosomal RNA", at positions 524 to 776 of the family's 1533-position model. The record is from RNAcentral.